This 253-nucleotide ribosomal RNA is filed under the name uncultured bacterium. Its description in RNAcentral is "partial 16S ribosomal RNA". It matches the Rfam family "Bacterial small subunit ribosomal RNA", at positions 524 to 776 of the family's 1533-position model. The record is from RNAcentral.
UACGAAGGGGGCUAGCGUUGUUCGGAAUUACUCGGCGUAAAGCGCACGUAGGCGGCCUUGUAAGCUGGGGGUGAAAUCCCGGGGCUCAACCUCGGAAUUGCGUUCAAGACUGCUUGGCUCGAGUUCGGGAGAGGUGAGUGGAAUUCCCAGUGUAGAGGUGAAAUUCGUAGAGAUUGGGAAGAACACAAGUGGCGAAGGCGGCUCACUGGCCCGUAACUGACGCUGAGGUGCGAAAGCGUGGGGAGCAAACAGG